The sequence is a transfer RNA, 73 nucleotides long. It matches the Rfam family "tRNA". Rfam says of the family: Transfer RNA (tRNA) molecules are approximately 80 nucleotides in length. Their secondary structure includes four short double-helical elements and three loops (D, anti-codon, and T loops). The record is from Rfam.
GGUCGCUUAGCUUAAUUGGUAGAGCGUAGUACUUACGAGCCUAAGGUCACGAGUUCGAAUCUCGUAGUGACCA